CGCGCUGGUGCGUCGAACUGUCGAACAGCGGCCUCCUCAGUUCAAGGCCGCCUGUACGAUGUUGCAGGCGGUCGAAGGUAUCGGGUUCCUGUGUUGCGUGCCCACGCAAGUGGAAAUCGGUUCGUUUCUGUCGGAAAUUCGCCCGAUGCCCGUUGAGGGCAUGAGGUGAACGCCGUGGUGCCUCCCGUGGUCCACCCGGGUCCGCUCGGACCGUCGUGGCUCACGGAAGGCAGCCCGUGCUUCGGGAUGCGGAAGGCAUUGUGCGACCGAGGGAUCGUGGCCCUCGGUCGUUGAAAACUGUCCGUUAAACAAGAACGACCCACGACUCCCGUUUCCGGCCCAAGGCGGAGCGGGCGUCGAGGUCUCGGAGGAAUGC
RNAcentral lists this unclassified non-coding RNA (376 nucleotides) under Plukenetia madagascariensis. Its description in RNAcentral is "partial external transcribed spacer". The record is from RNAcentral. Lineage: Eukaryota; Viridiplantae; Streptophyta; Magnoliopsida; Malpighiales; Euphorbiaceae.